GGAGAAUCUUGCACAAUGGGCGAAAGCCUGAUGCAGCAACGCCGCGUGAAGGAUGAAGGCCCUUGGGUCGUAAACUUCUGUUCUAAGGGAAGAUAAUGACGGUACCUUAGGAGCAAGUCCCGGCUAACUACGUGCCAGCAGCCGCGGUAAUACGUAGGGGGCGAGCGUUAUCCGGAAUUAUUGGGCGUAAAGAGUACGUAGGUGGUAACUUAAGCAUGUGGUUUAAGGCAAUGGCUUAACUAUUGUUCGCCGCAUGAACUGGGCUACUUGAGUGCUGGAGAGGAAAGCGGAAUUCCUAGUGUAGCGGUGAAAUGCGUAGAUAUUAGGAGGAACACCAGUGGCGAAGGCGGCUUUCUGGACAGUAACUGACACUGAGGUACGAAAGUGUGGGUAGCAAAC
Molecule: ribosomal RNA, 399 nt
Filed under: uncultured bacterium
Lineage: Bacteria
Description: bacterial SSU rRNA
Rfam family: Bacterial small subunit ribosomal RNA
Source: RNAcentral